GGGCAAUUACUCAAGUGGCCAAAGAGGACAGUCUCGAAAAUUGUUAGGAGUUAAUAGCUCGCAAGGGUUCGAAUCCCUUAUUGCCCGCCA
This 90-nucleotide transfer RNA is filed under the name Metamycoplasma auris 15026. Its description in RNAcentral is "Mycoplasma auris 15026 tRNA-Ser". It matches the Rfam family "tRNA". Rfam says of the family: Transfer RNA (tRNA) molecules are approximately 80 nucleotides in length. Their secondary structure includes four short double-helical elements and three loops (D, anti-codon, and T loops). The record is from RNAcentral. Lineage: Bacteria; Bacillati; Mycoplasmatota; Mycoplasmoidales; Metamycoplasmataceae.